Molecule: ribosomal RNA, 253 nt
Filed under: uncultured bacterium
Lineage: Bacteria
Description: partial 16S ribosomal RNA
Rfam family: Bacterial small subunit ribosomal RNA
Source: RNAcentral
UACGAAGGGAGCUAGCGUUGUUCGGACUCACUGGGCGUAAAGCGCACGUAGGCGGACGUGUCAGUCAGGGGUGAAAUCCCGGGGCUCAACCUCUGAACUGCCUUUGAUACAGCACGUCUUGAGUCCGGAAGAGUUGGGUGGAAUUCCUAGUGUAGAGGUGACAUUCGUAGAUAUUAGGAAGAACACCGGUAGCGAAGGCGGCUCACUGGUCCGGUACUGACGCUGAGGUGCGAAAGCGUGGGGAGCAAACAGA